UACGUAGGGUGCGAGCGUUGUCCGGAAUUAUUGGGCGUAAAGGGCUCGUAGGCGGUUUGUCGCGUCGGGAGUGAAAACCUCGGGCUUAACUCGGGGCUUGCUUUCGAUACGGGCAGACUGGAGGUAUGCAGGGGAGAACGGAAUUCCUGGUGUAGCGGUGAAAUGCGCAGAUAUCAGGAGGAACACCGGUGGCGAAGGCGGUUCUCUGGGCCGAUACCGACGCUGAGGAGCGAAAGCGUGGGGAGCGAACAGG
RNAcentral lists this ribosomal RNA (253 nucleotides) under uncultured bacterium. Its description in RNAcentral is "partial 16S ribosomal RNA". It matches the Rfam family "Bacterial small subunit ribosomal RNA", at positions 524 to 776 of the family's 1533-position model. The record is from RNAcentral.